CUUUGUGUCAUUUUCUCCUUUUCCUUCUCCCUCACGUUCUCUUCUUGCGUGGCUUUCUCCUUCUCCCUCACUUUCUCUUCUACUAACGCAAAGUGCAGCCCGACUUCAACUCUUCUCCUUUCUCAGUCGCCGUCGCGUCUCCUUCACCGUCGCCAACCGUUCAGUCCUCUAUAGUGGUCAGUUUGUAUGCGGCGUGCAAGAUUCUCUAUCGAAGAUGCAUCGAAAAAUACGUUUUGGCGCCCUAUUUUCCUCCCUUGAGCCUCUCAAGUUCAUCAUUGCUCACUGUAUUUUCGACACUAGCAACAUCAUCAAAUUGCUUCUGCUUCUCACUUAUCAGUCUCCAUUGAAGGUUUGUCAGCGAGCACUAACUUAACAUGAUCCCAAGAAAAUGGGGUGAUUGGUGACUACAAAAGAGUCGUGGUGGGUCAUUACAAUGAUCACAAUACCAAUACCAAUAGACAAUUUGUUAGAUUUGAUACACACUAUUAGGAUGUUUUGUUUGUGAUCAUGUUUUGUUUAUAUGAUGGAAUUGUAUUAACUUAAUUUUGUGCAUAUGUUCAUUUGUGUACCAAGUUUUAGUUUGUUGAAUAUUUAUAUGUUAGUUGUAUGAAAUAAAUUGGAAACUAUUAAUUA
Molecule: long non-coding RNA, 633 nt
Organism: Cucumis sativus (cucumber)
Lineage: Eukaryota; Viridiplantae; Streptophyta; Magnoliopsida; Cucurbitales; Cucurbitaceae
Exons: 2
Source: RefSeq, a predicted model, not a curated record